CCCGAUGAAACACCCGGAGCUGAAAGUGCUGCUCUACGCGAACGGCUCCAACUUUUCCCAGCUGAACAAUCCGCCCGGCGGCAGCCAGGUGCAGUGGCUCGUCAAUGCCACGCAGACGAAGCCAUCCGAGCUGCA
This 135-nucleotide unclassified non-coding RNA is filed under the name plant metagenome. RNAcentral's name for it is "partial contains 5.8S ribosomal RNA, internal transcribed spacer 2, and large subunit ribosomal RNA". The record is from RNAcentral.